GGAGUNGGGCCUGCUCGGUGAACAAUAUUGUUUUAACAGCUGCGGUAUUUUAACUGUACUAAGGUAGCAUAAUAAUUUGCCUUAUAAUUUGAGGCUAGAAUGAAUGGUUUGACGAAGGUUAAACUGUCUCUAUUUUAUUUACUAGAACUUAAUUUACAAAGUGAAAAAGCUUGUAUUUCUUAAAGGGACGAGAAGACCCUAAUGAGCUUUAAUUUUAUUAACUUUUUUGCUGCAUGUAAAGAAAUUUAUAUAAAUUUUAAUUGGGGUGAUUAAGGAAUAAAUAUAAGUUACUAGAUUAAUAACUUCCUUAAACUAAAUAUUGUUGAAUAAAUUAACCAAUGUUAUUGCUUACAUUAGAGUUACCAUAGGGAUAACAGCGUAAUUCGUUUUGAGAGUUCUUAUUGAAAAACGAGAUUGCGACCUCGAUGUUGGAUUAAAGUAACCUUAAGGUGCAGAAGCUUUAAAAGGUAAAUCUG
This 476-nucleotide ribosomal RNA is filed under the name Enoploteuthis galaxias. RNAcentral describes it as "partial 16S ribosomal RNA". It matches the Rfam family "Bacterial large subunit ribosomal RNA", at positions 1849 to 2579 of the family's 2925-position model. The record is from RNAcentral. Lineage: Eukaryota; Metazoa; Mollusca; Cephalopoda; Oegopsida; Enoploteuthidae.